UGAACACCCCACACACGCUACAACCCCUUCCAGCAGCCCCACGCCCGCCAUGCCGCCCCUCAGCCAGGCAGGCCCUGGGCGCUCACUGCGCGUGCGCGGCGCUCAGCCGCCAUUUUGGGCGCCGCCUCAGCGGCCCGCCCAGGGGCCGUCCCUCGGCCGAGGCGGCGCCCGGGGAAAUGCCGCAGCCCCCGGGCUGUGUUCGUGUUCCGUGUCCCGGCACCCCGCGGUGGGGCUGCGGGAGGUGCUUGUCCUGCGCCUCUCAGGCUAGCGGCUGCGGGUGGUGCUUGCUGGUCUCCUUCCCCGGCAGCUGGUGCGCGCCGGCAGGCUCCUGUGCCUGGUGGCUCUAAAGUGAUAUCUACAGAAAGUUCUCUGUUUCUCAGUACAGAUGAUAAACACCUGCUUAUCAAAAUAGUGCAAACAGGAACAAAGAAAAGUGCUGUCAACGUAAGUAAACCGCAGGGAAAAACGCAGCUGAAUGUUAUGACCUUGCAAUGUUGCUUUAGAGAAAUCAGUAGUACGCUUUUUCAGCAUGUCAGACCAACUGUAUUCCUAUUUACCAUACCACACCAUCACUAGAUGGGGAAUGGAUUUGGUCUUUUGCACAUACUCCUUCAUAAAAGUAAUUGUGUCUGUUCUGACUUUCGUACUGCACAUUUAAGAAGUCUAACGACUUUUGAAAGUCAAAUCAUGAGAAUAACAUUUGCAAUGCUGUCUUCCCUUUUUCCCUUUAGAACUUUCUUCGGAGUGCAUAGAAAAGGCCACAGUGACACAUUCCAUACAAAAAUCAAGUUUUAAGUUUUAUGUAAAAUACUCAAGUAUUUUUAGCAUUUACAUACGCAUCUUAAUUUACCAUACAUUCUUUCUCACUCCUUCCUUAUAUCUUUAUCUUAUUUUUUGGACAGACAACAGAUAUUUCACCUUAUAUAGUUAAGCAUUUAACCCUAGUAUAAACAAGAGCAUUACUGGAGGUACAAUGUCAGGAGCAUCUCUUUACAGAACAUGGAACACCAUCACUGCAAACUCCUGUCCUCAGGUGUCACAGUGCAAGAGAUCAUAAAAUGGAGGUCUUUUCCCUGUUUUAUCCACAAGAAAAUCACUCAGGUCUAAUUUCAGAGUAGUUUGAAGACAAGCUAGAGUGUGAUAGAUCUUCCUCUAAAUACUACUCUAGGUAAGGUUUUCUCAAUGUUUGUCUUAAUUAAUGUUUAGGUCUAGAUACUGAUUUUCAAUGUAAACGUUUCUGCUAUUUGUGCUUUUAAAACUUUGUGAAAGAAGUAGU
Oxyura jamaicensis (ruddy duck) is the source of this 1276-nucleotide long non-coding RNA. RefSeq lists it as uncharacterized. NCBI's taxonomy places the organism in Eukaryota, Metazoa, Chordata, Aves, Anseriformes, Anatidae. The transcript has 2 exons. The record is from RefSeq and is a predicted model, not a curated record.